Molecule: transfer RNA, 67 nt
Filed under: Heterocephalus glaber (naked mole-rat)
Lineage: Eukaryota; Metazoa; Chordata; Mammalia; Rodentia; Bathyergidae
Rfam family: tRNA
About the family: Transfer RNA (tRNA) molecules are approximately 80 nucleotides in length.
Source: Rfam by way of RNAcentral
GGGGAUUUAGCUCAGUGGGAGAGUGCUUGCCUAGCAUGCAAGAGGCCCUGAGUCCCAUCAAUCUCCA